UACGCACCGAGCUACCCGGAGCGUGACACACGCUCACGGUCCGUAGUGGGGGGAAUAGUCGCGUGGCGGCCUCCGUCGUGGCGGGGUGUACAACGAACCGUCAAACAGAAAGGAAUAGACAGAGAUAGCUGAUCUCUCGCGAGCGCAUGCGUUCUUCUCGAGAUACUACUACUAUUACUGCUACUACUAUUACGUUGUCUCACCCUUCCUGAAAAUGUUACCUGAACUGCGAGGUCAAAUUUUCAAAUUAACCGCCUCUUCGAUUCAACGCAAGCGAAAAGGUCACAGAGGCAGUUAAUGAAAGGAGUCGCGCCUGCGCACUUGUCCAAACUCAACUCGUUCACACAACUACUAUCGAGAAUGUGACACGCAACUUCCUCGAGUGAUCCUCAUUCUGUGUGUCUUUCAAGAUCAAUAGACUAAGUAUUCAUCUUUCGAAGUAUCUGAUGGGCGAUAUGACACUUGUCUACCUAACGUAAUAAUAUUUCAGAAGAUCUUUAAAUCUGUCGAUAAAAAAGCUUUCGAUGUCGAUCGAACUGACAAUCGCUAUAGAGAUAAUUCGAUCCUGAAUUAUUUAUGAACUAGGAGAGAAUCAGUGGGAUUCUGCUAAGACGAUAUAUAUUAAUGAUUACUAAACGACUACGAAAAGUACGAUCUAAUGUUAAUUAAUAAAUCAUACAAAAAAAACCACUAGAGAUCGUCGGAUAGUAUCGAUAACACGUUCCGUAAAUAUGAAAACGUCUAUAAGAUUCCUAUCGCACAGAAACAUACAGGGAAAGAGAAAAAGAUGUAAUAUCUCGAUCGAGAGUUUUGCAAUGUCGAUUGGCUAUCCCGACUUGUAAAAUAUUCAAGGUCGAACGAAUCGAAUUCACGUUCGAAUCUCGGCGAUACAUUCUCUAUUUCUGUUUUUCUUUCUCUCUUUCUCUUUCUAUAGAGAACGUUCUCUCUAGAAAUGCGGUACUCCCAUUAGAUCUCCGAGUAGAUUUUACAUCGCCAGGGUGAGACGGAAAGGAAUCGAAUAGGACGCAUGCGCAUUAUGAUACCGCAUUCGCACACGUAUUCUCCGAGAAAACGCACGUAAGCACGUACGUACGAAACGACGAAGACCGUGAGGGUAGCAAAAGGAAGAGAGAGGACGUCCCUAACCCGGCAAUCACCAGAGACACUUCUGGGAAGGCGUUCCCCUUCUCAAGAGCAAUUUCUCAGUAUCACUGUGAAUACGAGAAAUUGACAAAAGUAACCGUAACUACCUGGUCUCAUUAAUUUGACAUUGGCGUCAUUGUGUCAUUUGUAAA
Molecule: long non-coding RNA, 1295 nt
Filed under: Polistes fuscatus (common paper wasp)
Lineage: Eukaryota; Metazoa; Arthropoda; Insecta; Hymenoptera; Vespidae
Description: uncharacterized LOC122523482
Source: RNAcentral